CCUACGGGAGGCAGCAGUGGGGAAUUUUGGACAAUGGGCGAAAGCCUGAUCCAGCCAUUCCGCGUGCAGGACGAAGGCCUUCGGGUUGUAAACUGCUUUUGUGCGGAACGAAAAAGCUCUUACUAAUACUAGGAGUCCAUGACGGUACCGUAAGAAUAAGCACCGGCUAACUACGUGCCAGCAGCCGCGGUAAUACGUAGGGUGCGAGCGUUAAUCGGAAUUACUGGGCGUAAAGCGUGCGCAGGCGGUUAUAUAAGACAGAUGUGAAAUCCCCGGGCUCAACCUGGGAACUGCAUUUGUGACUGUAUAGCUAGAGUGCGGCAGAGGGGGAUGGAAUUCCGCGUGUAGCAGUGAAAUGCGUAGAUAUGCGGAGGAACACCGAUGGCGAAGGCAAUCCCCUGGGCCUGCACUGACGCUCAUGCACGAAAGCGUGGGGAGCAAACAGGAUUAGAUACCCUGGUAGUCCACGCCCUAAACGAUGUCAACUGGUUGUUGGGUCUUCACUGACUCAGUAACGAAGCUAACGCGUGAAGUUGACCGCCUGGGGAGUACGGCCGCAAGGUUGAAACUCGAAAGGAUUGACGGCUGAGACGNGACGAGGCGACGACGAGGGAGGAG
Molecule: ribosomal RNA, 618 nt
Filed under: uncultured bacterium
Lineage: Bacteria
Description: bacterial SSU rRNA
Rfam family: Bacterial small subunit ribosomal RNA
Source: RNAcentral